Molecule: long non-coding RNA, 216 nt
Filed under: Capsella rubella
Lineage: Eukaryota; Viridiplantae; Streptophyta; Magnoliopsida; Brassicales; Brassicaceae
Description: long non-coding RNA (CRUB_LNC001017)
Source: RNAcentral
UUGUUUUUAAAAAAAGAAAGACGGGACGCCGCAUUCAUGAGAGCAAGUCGCAUGGUGACACGUGGCUAUAUGAGAUAUUUGGCUCCUUCUUGUAUAUGCUGAGUCAGCGCGUGGCUUUCAGUCUCGAACUUCGCGAUUCAUGUCACGUGACCCCCAAGAUACCCGGUCCCGGUUUUUUAUUUUUAUUUUUUAUAAUAAUUCAGUAAAUUUAUUUUA